RNA transcript from Asparagus officinalis (garden asparagus), 3094 nucleotides. It is a transcript of the gene named carboxyl-terminal-processing peptidase 1, chloroplastic-like, with no coding region annotated. The record is from RefSeq and is a predicted model, not a curated record. The transcript has 15 exons. Lineage: Eukaryota; Viridiplantae; Streptophyta; Magnoliopsida; Asparagales; Asparagaceae.
AAAUAAUCCAACGGAAAUUUCAUUCGUAUACUUCUGUGUGGUCUGAAGCCAGACCCAGAAGCAAAACACCAGCUGAGCAUUUCGUUUCAGCUAAAACGAUGAUGACGAUGAUCGCACUCCCUCCUCUUUCCUCCUCUCCCAAAACCCUAUCCGUCCUCUCCUCUUCCUCCACAAAUCCCCACCUCAAUCCUAAUCCCAAACCCAAAAACCCUCGCCGCCUGCAAAACCUCCUCCUCGGCUCGAUCGCCGGAGCCCUAGCCUUCACCAUCGUCUCCUCUCCCCCUCUCCCUUCCCUCGCUUCAAACCCUCCGGCGAUGGAUCCCUCCCUCUGCGUAGAAGAAUCGUCGACCGAAGCGAUGGAGGACGAGAGGCCAUCAGAGUCGAUAACGAACGAGGAGAUUGUGGAGGAAGCUUGGGAGGUCAUCAACGACAGCUACGUCGGCGACGUCGGGAGUCGACCUUGGUCUCCUGAGAUCUGGAAGAAAGAGAAAGAUUAUGUCCUUAGUGGGAAGAUUCAGACGAGGGCUAGAGCUCAUGAUGCCAUUCGAAAGUCUGGCCACUGUUGGGAUCCCUACUACGAGAUUCUGUCUCCUGCCGAGUUCUCAAAAAUGGCAAGGUAUGAUGUAUCCGGAAUUGGGAUAAACCUUAGGGAAAUUCCUGACAACAAUGGUGCAGUCAGGUUGAAGGUAUUAGGGAUCAUCUUAGAUGGUCCUGCUCAUUCAGCUGGUGUGAGACAGGGGGAUGAACUCUUGUCUGUAAACGGAGUUGAUGUCAAGGGGAAAUCGGCAUUUGAUGUUUCCACUAUGCUGCAAGGCCCGAAGGAAACAUUUGUUACUAUUGAGGUGAAACAUGGAACUUGUGGUCCAACUCAAAGCAUUAAAGUCCAAAGGCAAUCAAUUGCUCGAACUCCAAUAUUUUAUCGUUUAGAAAAGAUGGAGAAUGGAAAUGUUUCAGUUGGAUACAUACAUAUCAAAGAGUUCAAUGCAUUGGCUAGAAAAGACUUGAUUACUGCGCUGAGACGCCUUCAAGAAUCUGGUGCUUCUUACUUUGUUUUGGAUCUCAAAGAUAAUCUUGGUGGACUCGUGCAGACUGGCAUUGAGGUUGCUAAUCUCUUCCUGACGAGAGGAGAAACGGUCAUCUAUACUGUUGGGAGGGACCCACAAGUACAGAAAAGGAUUAUUGCAGAUACUGCGCCUGUGAUUACAAAUCCUGUCAUUGUCUUGGUGAAUAACAGAACUGCAAGUGCAAGCGAAAUUGUUGCUUCGGCUCUUCAUGAUAACUGCAAAGCUAUUGUUGUGGGAGAGAGAACUUUUGGCAAGGGUUUGAUACAAUCGGUUUUCGAGCUUCAUGAUGGAUCUGGUGUGGUAGUCACCAUUGGGAAGUAUGUCACGCCAAAUCACAAGGAUAUCAAUGGAAAUGGAAUAGAACCAGAUUUCCCACGCCUUCCGGCUUUACGUGAAAUCAACGAAACUCUUUCACGAUGUCAAAUUCAAAGGACUUGAUAAACAAAGGUCCUUCACAUUGUAGUGGGUGACAAGCUAACAAUGAAGAUCACAUGUAGCUGGAGUUAUUAACUAUUAAGAUAUAUGGUUCAUGCUAUAGUGAGUGAACUAUCCAAACAGGUAUGUGGUUUGUUGUAUUGUUAUUUUCUGAAAUGGUGUACGCAUAAUUCAUUUUUUGCAAUAAUUGUUUACACCUCAGUUAUAUCAGCAUCAAUUAGUAAGUUAAUAUCAUUUUUUAUUACGCAUACAGAUGUGCUGUGUCAUGCACGCAUCGCGUGUAUCAUAAUACUAGUGUUCAAUAAAUAAUACUAAAGGUGGAUUUUGGCCCUUCCAUAUGGCGAAAGUGGAUGAUUUUGGAGAAAAUGAGGCAUGAAGGAGAAUACCAAUUUCUGGAGAAUAAUGUUAAUUAACAGUACCAGAGACGUGUGCAUUUGUGCAGAAGUUGAUUGCAUUAUUUUAUUCUUUAUCUGUGAAUUUAUUGUGCUCCAAAACAAAUUAUACCAUCUUACUUCUUUGUCUAGCCCAUUGAGUGGAAUAGGGCGUGUUUCAAAUAUUUUAUCAUUUUUCUUUUUCAUAUUCUUUUGAAGUAUUUCAAUUGCAAACAUGUGUAACACACACACAAACACAUUUCGACAUAAUUUAACUAUGCAGUAUAUAAUCUGAUUAUGCAUUAUGUGCUGUCCAAACACAUGCAUAAUGACUGCGUAUUUGCAAUAUUGCAUGUGUUGGUGUAGGUAAAUGUUAGAAACGAUCCAAGAACCUUCCCUGCAUUUUGGUGCAAUAUAGAUGAUGUACCAUUGCAAGCUUAUGAGUAUGAAUCCUAUCAGAACACCCCCACAUAGUGUGGGGCGUUCUGAACCUACUGACGAGGAUUGUGGGAGGUAUUUUGGUAAUUUGCAGGACUCAUAUAUGGUUCAGAUUGCCCCCCACCAUGGCGCAUUUUGAUAGGAAUCAUACUCUUAAGAUUAUUGGACUCACAAGAAAUAGGAAAUAUGCAGAUGACUUAUCAUAGUUAAUUAUUUCAGUUUUAGAAAAUUGUUCUUGUUGCAUGAGGAAUGGAUGUUGUGCCAUUUAGUUUCAUGUGGUUAGUUGGGUUCCUUGCUUGUUGAUUCCAGUGUAUUGUGAUCUUUUUAAGGAGGCUAUUUAAAUUGACAGUUCUUUGUAGCUGUCAUUGAUGUGCUUAACUGCAAAGUGAUUCUGGUUAGCUUCGGAUGGCAAUCUAAGGGUUAGGAGCUUCCUUCCUGCAGCUGUGUGCUUUGGUGAACAAUCCGUCUUCACACAGAAAAAUGGUAAUCAAGCAAUCAGUCUGGCUACUCAACUCACAGAUCAACAGGCCGGUAACUGCUCUUUAUGAUGAUGAAUAUAAUCUGCAUCCAGUAUAUACACCUUUUCCAUUUAGAAGUCGUAGCACUCUUUUUCUGAUAGAGAAAAUAUCCAAGACAUGUGAUGUAUGGCAACUGUUUCAGUACUGUGGCGCUUUCUUCGCUUCUCUUAAAACAAUAUUUUCAGUGUUGCCAUAACUUGUUCUUUUGUUUCUGAUUGAGUAUCUAACGCUUGGGGAAAAACAAUAUACCUUGUCAUCUCUUAUAUAA